This 450-nucleotide ribosomal RNA is filed under the name uncultured bacterium. Its description in RNAcentral is "partial 16S ribosomal RNA". It matches the Rfam family "Bacterial small subunit ribosomal RNA", at positions 338 to 795 of the family's 1533-position model. The record is from RNAcentral.
CCUACGGGGGGCUGCAGUGAGGAAUAUUGGUCAAUGGGCGCAAGCCUGAACCAGCCAUCCCGCGUGCAGGAUGACGGCCCUAUGGGUUGUAAACUGCUUUUGUUCAGGAAGAAAAAUCUCUACGAGUAGGGAACUGCCGGUACUGUACGAAUAAGCAUCGGCUAACUCCGUGCCAGCAGCCGCGGUAAUACGGAGGAUGCAAGCGUUAUCCGGAUUCAUGGGGUUUAAAGGGUGUCUAGAAGGCUCUUUUGAAAUCCUGCCGCUUAACGGUAGAAUUGCCAUUGAUACUGAAGAGCUUGAGUACAGUUGAGGUAAGCGGAAUGUGUAGUGUAGCGGUGAAAUGCUUAGAUAUUACACAGAACACCGAUUGCGAAGGCAGCUUACUAAACUGCAACUGACGCUGAUGCACGAAAGCGUGGGGAGCGAACAGGAUUAGAUACCCCGGUAGUC